Molecule: long non-coding RNA, 1392 nt
Filed under: Citrus x clementina
Lineage: Eukaryota; Viridiplantae; Streptophyta; Magnoliopsida; Sapindales; Rutaceae
Description: Citrus clementina (C. clementina) long non-coding RNA (CCLE_LNC005043)
Source: RNAcentral
UUUUGUGGCCUUUUUCCGCCGGACGAACUUGGCGUCCCGGCCUUCGGGCCGUUAUUUUUCGGCGCGGCUUUGCCCGCGGCCUAUUUUUGGAACACGAAGGCCCCUCGCAAGGCCUCACGGCAUUCCGAGUCCGGCGGACGAAGUUGGCCGCCCUACCCCCCAAGGAUAUAGCCCACCCGUUUUUGUGGCCUUUUUCCGCUGGACGAACUUGGAGCCCCGGCCUUCGGGCGCGGCUUUACCUGCAGCCUAUUUUUAUCACACGGAGGCCCCUCCUAAACUCUCGCGGCAUUCUGUGUUCGGCGGACGAAGUUGGCCAGCCCCACCCCCCAAGGCUAUAGCCCACCCGUUUUUGUGGCCUUUUUCCGCCGGACGAACUUGGCGCCCCGGCCAUCGGGCCGUUAUUUUUGAGUGCGGCUUUGCCCGCGGCCUAUUUUUGGAACACAGAGGCCCCUCGCAAAGUCUCACGGCAUUCCGAGUCCGGCGGACGAAGUUGGACAGCCCUACCCCCCAAGGAUAUAGCCCACCCGUUUUUGUGGCCUUUUUCCGCUGGACGUACUUGGAGCCCCGGCCUUCGGGCGCGGCUUUACCCGCAGCCUAUUUUUAUCACAUGGAGGCCCCUCGCAAAGUCUCACGGCAUUCCGAGUCCGGCGAACGAAGUGGGCCAGCCCCACCCCCCAAGGCUAUAGCCCACCCGUUUUUGUGGCCUUUUUCCGCUGGACGAACUUGGCGUCCCGGUCUUCGGGGGGUUAUUUUUGGGUGCGGCUUUGUCCGCGGCCUAUUAUUGGCACACGGAGGCCCCUCGCAAAGUCUCGCGGCAUUCGGAGUCCGGCGGACGAAGUUGGCCAGCCCCACCCCCCAAGGCUAUACCCCACUCUUUUUUGUGGCCUUUUUCCGCUGGACGAACUUGGCGCCCCGGCCUUCGGGCGUUUAUUUUUGGGCGCGGCUUUGGCCGCAGCCUAUUUUUGGCACACGGAGGCCCCUCGCAAAGUCUUGCGGCAUUCCGAGUCCGGCGGAUGAAGUAGGCCAGCCCCACCCCCCAAGGCUAUAGCCCACCCGUUUUUGUGGCCUUUUUCCGCUGAACGAACUUGGAGCCCCGGCCUUCGGGCGCGGCUUUACCCGCAGCCUAUUUUUAUCACACGGAGGCCCCUCGCAAAGUCUCGCGGCAUUCUGAGUUCGGCGGACGAAGUUGGCCAGCCCCCCCCCCCCAAGGCUAUAGCCCACCCGUUUUUGUGGCCUUUUUCCGCCGGACGAACUUGGCGUCCCGGCCUUCGGGCCGUUAUUUUUCGGCGCGGCUUUGCCCGCGGCCUAUUUUUGGAACACGGAGGCCCCUCGCAAGGCCUCACGGCAUUCCGAGUCCGGCGGACGAAGUUGGCCGCCCUACCCCCCAAGGAU